RNAcentral lists this ribosomal RNA (395 nucleotides) under uncultured bacterium. RNAcentral describes it as "partial 16S ribosomal RNA". It matches the Rfam family "Bacterial small subunit ribosomal RNA", at positions 523 to 918 of the family's 1533-position model. The record is from RNAcentral.
AUACGUAGGUGGCAAGCGUUGUCCGGAAUUACUGGGCGUAAAGCGUGCGCAGGCGGUUCGGAAAGAAGGAUGUGAAAUCCCAGGGCUCAACCUUGGAACUGCAUUCUUAACUACCGAACUAGAGUAUGUCAGAGGGGGGUAGAAUUCCGCGUGUAGCAGUGAAAUGCGUAGAUAUGCGGAGGAAUACCGAUGGCGAAGGCAGCCCCCUGGGAUAAUACUGACGCUCAUGCACGAAAGCGUGGGUAGCAAACAGGAUUAGAUACCCUGGUAGUCCACGCCCUAAACGAUGUCAACUAGCUGUUGGGCCCUUCGGGGCUUAGUAGCGUAGCUAACGCGUGAAGUUGACCGCCUGGGGAGUACGGUCGCAAGAUUAAAACUCAAAGGAAUUGACGGGG